RNAcentral lists this long non-coding RNA (8123 nucleotides) under Phaseolus vulgaris (common bean). RNAcentral describes it as "long non-coding RNA (PVUL_LNC001900)". The record is from RNAcentral. Lineage: Eukaryota; Viridiplantae; Streptophyta; Magnoliopsida; Fabales; Fabaceae.
UUUUCCUCUUUCUCUUCCACUAAACACGUAAUCCCUCACUCCCACUGCAUACUCACGCUCUCCUAACCCUUAAUCCUCUUUCUACCUCUGGUCCACCACGAAGCUGCUUCUGGCUUUCCUCCACCGGGAAACCACUUCUCUACAAACCGCGUUUCGUUCACGCAAGAUGUGUUCUGCGAUUUGUUGGAUUUCAAGGUACAAAAGGUGACUACCACUUCUGCAAUACACGUUUCAAGGUGAUUUUUGUUGGAUGAAUUGGCGUUUCCGUUUCCGUGCUGUGUUUUUUACUGGAUCCACGAACUGAUUUUUUACAGGAUGAAAUUCAUUUCUCGGUUCAGUUAGAGGUUCAAAACGUCAACUGAUUUUCUACGGUGUUUUAAUCAUCUGCAACUUGCUUAUGGUUCUGAAAUUUUGCAAGAGUGCAACGCUAUUCCCAGCUAAGUUCUGAAAUCACGUCUACUGAUUUUACUGCUUUGAGAACGAAAUCAGUAUUAAAGUUUUAUAGCAGUUCAGGGAGAUGAUCAAGGAUUACUUCUGUUCCAAUUCCUGUAAGUUGCUUCUUACUCAUCAUCUUAACUCUAGGUAAUUUAUUGUUUGUUACGGUAUUUUAGGAAUUCCUUUUUAACUUUAGUCUGAAUUAAAUAUAGAUUUUUAAACCAUAUAUCAAUCUAGGUUUAAAAAACAGUGAGAAGUGGACUAAUUAGUAUUUCUUUAGUACUUGAAGUGCAGAGUAUAGUAAACACGAUGCAAGAAAAAAGAAAACAGAGAAGAAAAGAAGGACGAGGGAGAUAAAAAGAGAACGAAGAGGUGUGUUUUACGUUUUGAUGUAUCUGAUAACUCUUUUUGCAGCUUUCAUAUGUGUUUCGUUUGGACAGUGCAUGAACCUUGAAAGAAUACUCACAACAUUUAGGAUGUCAGGUCUGGUUGUUGUUAAGUACAUCAGACAACCUAUCAAACUUCUAAACUUAGAUUCAUUAACCUUGUCAGAACCAUCAUCUUUGAUUAGCUUCUCCUUUUGAUUCAUGGGAGUGUUCACAGUUUUGCAAUCUUCCAUCAGAAAUUUCUUGAGUAUUUCCUUUGCAUGUUUUCUUUGACUUAAGAAAACUUCAUCCUGAUUCUGUUUGAUCUCAAUGCCAAGAAAGUAUGACAUAAGACCAAGAUCUGUCAUUUCAAAGACCUUUUUCAUUUCCAGUUUGAACUGGUUGAUUUCUUCAACAUUGCUUCCUGUAACUAACAUGACAUCCACAUAAAGAGAAAUUACCAAAAUAUUUGUACCUUGAUGUUUGACAUACAAUGUGAGUUCAGAUUGGCUUUUAUGAAAGCCAAGGUGCACCAGAUGAUCAUCAACCUUGUUGUACCAGGCUCGUGGAGCUAGCUUUAAUCCAUAUAAAUCCUUUUUCAAAAAGUAGACUUUAUUUUCAUUGCCCUCAUUCACAAAGCCUUCAGGUUGUUCAACAAAAAUUUCUUCUUGCAAAUCUCCAUUUAAGAAUGCAGAUUUAACAUCCAAAUGGUAUACUUUCCAGCUCCUUUGAGCAGCAAGAGCAAGCAAUAAUAUUACAGUGUCAAGCCUGGCAACAGGUGCAAAUGUCUUUGAAUAAUCAACACCAAAAACUUGUGCAUAUCCUUUCACAACAAGUCUUGCUUUGAAUUUGUUGAUAGAACCAUCAGGACUUAGCUUGGUUCUGAAAACCCAUCUUACUCCAAUUAUUUUUCUGUUUAGUCGACCAACCAACUCCCAGGUUUUAUUUUUCUCAAUCAUAGAAAGCUCCUCCUACAUUGCAGCCAUCCAGUGUUGACUGUUUUUUGCAUCGUGAAAUCCUGCAGGCUCACAAACAGCUACAUUGCACCUUUGACAGAUGUCAGACAAUAGUCUUGUUCCUCUGACAGGUGCAUCAUCAACUGUAGCAUCAUCUUCAGAUUCUUCAGUCAUGCUCCCAAGGGUUGAACUGUUUGGAGCAUUUGGACUUUGAUUCACCUUAGUUGAACUUUCCCAAUCCCAUUGUUCAUUUUCAACAAAAUGAACAUCUCUGCUUACAAUCACACGACCAAUUUGUGGCUGAAAAAUUUUGUAAGCUUUGGAUACAGUGCUAUAUCCAACAAAGAUGCUUGCUUAUGCUUUUUUAUCAAGCUUAUCACGCUUGACCUGUGGAAUAUAAGUGAAGCAAAGACAACCAAAUAUUUUGAGAAAUUUUAAAGAAGGUUUGUAGCCAUACCAAGCUUCAUAUGGUGUCAGAUCUUUCAAGGCUUUUGUAGAAAUUCGAUUUUGUAGGAAUACAACAGUGUUUGUUGCCUCCCCCCAUAACCCUUUUGGAAGAUUCUUUUCAUGGAGCAUACACCUUGUCAUCUCCAUAAUGAAUCUGUUCUUCCUUUCACUGACACCAUUCUGUCGAGGAGUAUAUGGUGUUGUUAAUUGAUGUUGAAUUCCAGCUUCUUCACAAAAUUUGUUGAAAGCAUCAGAGGUGUAUUCCUUGCCAUUGUCAGACCUUAUAAUCUGAAUUGAGCAUCCACUUUCAUUUUCAACUCUGGUUUUGAAUUUCCAGAAUAUACUGGGAACCUCUAACUUUUGUUUCAACAUGAAAAUCCAACACAUUCUUGUUAGAUCAUCAAUAAAAAUUAUGUAGUAGAGGUUACCAUUUAAUGAAGGUGUUCUCUGAGGACCACACAAAUCAGUGUGCACCAGUUGCAGCUUUUUCGAGGCUCUCCAAGCUUGUUUAGGGAAAGGUUGUCUGUGUUGCUUCCCAAAAUUGCAGGCAUGACAAGGAGGAAUAUUAUCAUCAAUGUCUGCGAGUCCUUCAACUAGCUUCUUUGAUUGCAUCUGAAACAAUCCUUGAUGAUGAAAGUGCCCAAGUCUUUUGUGCCAAAUCUCAGUGGCACUAGCUCUGGACUUGAAGGCCAUUUGUUCUUUCUCCAUUGGAUUUAAAGCAAAGCUUUUUCCUUUCAUUUUGACAUUGAACAAGUCUUUGCCACUAGCAUCUCUAAUCAAGCACUGUUUAUUCUCAAACAACACUUUAUAGCCUUUAUCGAGUAGGUGGCCAACACUUAAGAGAUUUUGAUCAAUUUUAGGUACAAAUAAAACAUCUGAAACAAAUUUUGUACCUUCAUAGCUUGCUAUAGCUACUGUGCCUUUUUCCCUUGACUUCCAAGAGUUCACCAUUUCCAAUUCUCACUCUCUUAACUUCAGUGUUUUUUAAUUCUUCGAAAAGCUCCUUGUCAUAUGUCAUAUGAUUUGUGCACCCACUGUCAAUCAACCAGCUCUCACUUGAUUCUCUACUUGAGAAACAAGUGACCACGAACAAUUGAUCUUCUUCUUGACCAACAACUUGUGCAUCUACUUCUUGCACCUGACCUUUGACUUUGCAGAUCACAGCUUCAUGUCCAAGUUGAUUGCAUUUGGAGCAUUUUGCAUCGGGUCUUCUCCAACACUUGUAUGGUGGAUGACCUUUCUUCUCACAGUGGCGGCAAGGUGGGUAGGAUUUUUUGGAACCUUCUUCCUUUUUUAAGUUUUUCUUCUUUUUGUACCUGUUGUUGUCUUGAUGCUUGACAGGUAAAGCUCCUUCAAUCACCCCUUCUUGCCUCAUAGACCUUCUUUGCUCUUGUGCUUGUAAAGCAUUCAAGAGCUCUGUAAGAGAGAUUUUUGACAGGUCUUAGGUGUUCUCCAGAGUAGUAAUGGUGGCUUCAAACUUCCCGGGAACAGUGACCUGCAGCUUUUCAACAAUCCUAGAGUCAAUACACACAGAACCAAGUAAUCUCACCUUAUUGGCAAUGCUGAGAAGUCUGUCAGAGUACUCCUUCAUUGACUCAAACUCCUUCCUCUUCUGCAACUCGAAAUCCUGAAUCAAAUUCAGGACUUUCAUUCCACGAAUCCUCUCAUCUCCUGCAAAUUCACCCUUGAGGUAAUCCCAAAUUUCCUUUGUUGUUUUGAGGGACAUUAUUCGUGUGAAGAUCAUUUGAGAUAUAACUGCAAAUAGGCAAGCUUUUUCCUUUGAUUUUAUGGUUUUUUUCUCCUUCUAUGCUUUGAUUUGUGCAACAGUAGGAUUUGCUGGAAGUGGAGGGACUUCGUAAUCUUCUUCUACUGCUUCCCAAAGAUCCAAAGCCUUCAGAUAAGUCUCCAUACGAAUUGCCCACAUUUGAUAAUUGUCUCCAUCAAAGACUGGUGGUGCAACAGCUGAAAAACUUGAUUCUCCUUCCAUUUUGACCUCACAGAUCCCUUAAGAAGAGUGCUUUGAUACCAAUUUGUUAGUUUCAAAACAAAUAAUAUUUGAUUGAUCAAUUGAGAUGAUAUAUUAAAGUUGGAAAGUUGUGCAUUUGUACACAGAAUGAAUAAAGAUUGUUCUAAAAAACAGAAAAUAAAUAUGGUAACAAACCAAUAGUUAAAACAGAAUUAAUUAAUUUUCUAAAAAUCUGGAGACUUAUUCAAUAACAAAAAAAAGCUAACUUGUAGGAUGUUAAACACAUGAUCCUAACAAACAUUCUUAAAUAUCAACUUUUUUUUAAAAGAACUAUAGAAAAGGUUUCAUAAAACCAAUAAAAGAAGAAAGAGUUUGGUUACUGACUUACCACGUCAAAAACAGCCUUAAGUUAACUUUCCUUUACCAUAAGCAACAAUCAAGUUGUCUAUGGUUCUGUUGUAAACUCCCAUCAGAUAAGAAAAUUUUGGUUAUUAUGUAGUGUUUCCAUUGCUUGAUACCACUUCCUUGGAAAGCAAAAACAAAAGGGACAUAAUUGAAAGCAUAUACACCUAUGUCUGAGAUUUGAUUAAGUACCUUAAACUUUCUAUCCAACCAGGGAAAGGUUCUCUGUAAGUAUUAGUAAUGAUUGUGGGACGUACAAUUACUAUAUUCAUGUUUCCCUUUGUAGUUCCUACAAUCAUUUCUCCCAUUGCCUUUGUAAAGACAUAGGUGUGUGGCCAUCCAUAUAUCGUUGCUCUAAUAAUUAGUCAUGAAACAACCAUCAUAUGGUAAUUGUAAAAAAUGAAAAUGUUACCUGAUACACACAAAAUUAUAGAUAAACUUGUGGAGGUAAUUUAAAUUGUUCAACAAAAGGAAGGUGGUGUGAUUAAAGUGGAAGUAGUAGAAUUGGAAGACCUUUUACUUCCCAAGUCCUUCAUGGCCAAUUCAAUAUCAUUGAAGGCAAGAUUUGAUUCGCUACCAUUCAAAUAAAGUUUGCAUCAUCAUGGGCACACAAUUUUUUAUUAUAUAAGCAAAGAAUUAAAUUAAGUAAAAGAUACUUUAUACAUAUCUCAACCCGUUUACGAAUAAAGAGAAUGAUACUAUCUAUAUCUAGAACGGGCACUAUUACCCUUCCUAAAGCUACCUACGAAGAAAAAAAACAAGAGCUUCUUAAAGCACCACCAGCAACAAUUCCUGCCAUUCCUCCGCCACUGCAAAAAAAAAAAACCUUACAUCACAAUGGAUCAUCAUGGGCACACACAUAUAUAUUAAAUAUGAGAUUCUGAUAUAACCAUGCAACAGAUACGACCUUAAGCAUAUAUAUUUACAAGGACAUAAAAUGAGCCAAAAAAUUUCAAGUUAGGCUUUAGCCAACAGAAAAGAAAAAAUUGUUGAUGAAGCAGUUAGGCAACUAACACAAUAAUGAUUUUUUUUCUAAAACUUAUCCACUCCAUUUCCAAUACAUGUACAUGACUUGGUAGCUUGCCAAAGUGAGGCCAUUGGUGUUCCAGUCACCAAAACUCAUCUUGCUCCCAAUUCAUGCAUCAGAAAAAAGAGUCUUCAUUAAGAUAACAAUGUAGUACUAGUACUACCACCAAUAAUACUCCUAUAUACAACCAUUUAUUUAUUGGUGGUCAAUAAUGGCCAUAUGCAUAUACUUAAAAAAGACUACAUGACAUACACUAUAUAUAAUAACACUACAAAAAAAAAUUAUGAAAUAAAAACAUAUUUUAGAAACAAAAAAUAAUUAGUUGCUAUAUUGACUAAAUUAGAGACUAUUUUAGAAACUAAAAAAAAAAAUUGGUUUCUAAAUUAAUUUAUAUUAUUGAUGAAUAAUUUCUAAAUUGGUAUCUAAGGUUUUUCUACUAAAUUUAGAAUCUAAAUAAUUGGUAGUUAAAAUCUUGGUAUAAACUAUUUAUCAAUAAUAGAAACUAAUUUAGAAACCAAUAAUUUUUUUAGUCUCUAAACUAUAUUUAAUUUAGUCAAUAUAGCAACUAGUUAUUUUUAGUCUAUAAAAUUGGUUUCUAUUUAAUAACUUUCUAGUAGUGUUGGUUUAUAUAAUUCCUAAUUUUUUUUGUUGCAAGCUCACACUUCAAAAAAAUGACUUAUUUUGUUUUAGCUUUUGAUGUACAUAUUUUUAUGUGUAAUUUUAGUUUUAGUUGUAAUUGUUAAUAUUUAAUUUUCAUAAUUUUGAAAUAUUUUAAAUUAAGGUCUUUAUUUUAAAAUGCAUCUAAUAAUUAAUUCACUGUGAGAGUGACAAAUGAUAAAGUUAAUUUCUCCUAGCAAUAUGUUUUAAUGCUCACAUCUAAUAGAUAAUGCAAUUAUUUAGGAUAUAUAAAGCAGUGAUAAACACCAAUGAUUGUCAAGUUAGGUAAUAGUGGCUUGUGAUCCGAGUUCGGACACUAAAGUGAUGGAAGAAGCAAUAUUGGAGUAAGAAGAAAAUAGUGUCUUAUUUAGGGUUUCUUCUCCUUAGAUAUAAUAGACAUAAGUGUGGCUGAAUUUUGAUUCCUUGUUAGGACUAUCGGUGACGGCCAUUAAACCUGUGUUGGAGAGCAGUGUGUCUGCGGUAGAAGAGAGAAGUCGGGAGGAUUGUUAGAGAUGGUGGAAAAUGGGGUUGAAGAUUUUUAAACUCGUGGUAUUUAACGGAGAUUUUGAAACUCAUAUUAUUUUACGGGAUGAUAUAUUUAUUGAUUUAUAUUUUCCUAGCGGUGUUAAUUUAAUUUUUUAGAAACUGAAAUAAAGUUAUCAAAAUUCUCUUCUUGAAGAGUGAAAACUCUCUCCCAGUUCUCUCAAAGAUGUCAAUUUUUUUUGGAGAAAAUGAUCCAUAAAUUUGAACUUGUAAUUUAAUAAAUAUAAAAAAAUUGUUUUUAAACUAAUCUACAUUUAUUGAUAUUUUUAGUAAUAUAGUAAUUGUGAAAAAUACAAACCAAUUUUAUUCUUUUUUUAUUUAUUUAAUUAAAAAGAGUUAACUAAAAAACAUUUAAAAAAAUUGAUACUAUAUUAAAGUAACAUUUAUUUACCAAAUGUCACAAUAUUAUGUUUAUUUUAUUUAUAGUAAUAUUUAUAUAUAAAAAAUGUUACUAAAACUUAUGUAUUGAAAAUGUAACUAAAAAUACAAAAAUGCUGUAGUGUAAUCCGGGUUAAGUUAGAGAUUCUAAAUUUACAACUUUCAAUUAUUGAAACACGUUUAUAAAUACUUUUUUUUAAACAUUACAAGAAAAUCAUGAAAUAAAAAUCAAUUUUUAAAGAUCAAAAUAAUUAGUUGGAAUAGUAACUAAAUUAGAGACAUUUUAGAAAUUAAAUAAAAAAAUUGGUUUCUAAAUUAGUUUCUAUUAUUGUUAAAUAGUUUCUAAAUUGGUAUCUAAUUAGCUAGUUUUAGAGACAAAAUUUAGAAACUAAAUAAUUGGUAGUUAAAACCUUAGUGACUAAUUAAAUACAAAUUUAAAAACUAUUUAAUAAUGAUAGAAACUAAUUUAGAAACAAAUUAUUUUUAGUUUCUAAAAUGAUUUCUAAUUUAGUUACUAUUGCAACUAAUUAUUUUCAUCUCUAAAACAAUAGCAUAUAAAUGCUAAAAGAAAAGGAAAAUGGUUUUUUGACACCAUUAUUCCACCCUACACCCCACUAAAUAUUAAUAUUUUAAUUUAUUUAAUUUUAAAAUUAUUUUAACAUUUUAUAUUUUAUUUAUAUUUUCAUUAAGGACUUUUUUUUAUUUUAUAAAUUUUUUUUAUUAUAAAUAUUAAUAUUUUGUUGGAUGGUAAAGUGGAUGUGAAAAUAUCAUCACCAAAAGAAAAAGUGUAAUUUGAAAAAGAAUGCAAGUAUUGUUGACCUUUUCCAUUUUCAGUUUCUCUUGUUAAACUUUGUCCUUCCACAAAUCAUCUUUAUUUAUUUUUUCCAAUUCAACACGCUUUAUGACGUCUCUGACACUGCAGGACUUAUCUAAAAACAUCAUAGUUU